RNAcentral lists this ribosomal RNA (424 nucleotides) under Verrucomicrobiota bacterium. RNAcentral describes it as "Verrucomicrobia bacterium partial 16S ribosomal RNA". It matches the Rfam family "Bacterial small subunit ribosomal RNA", at positions 355 to 776 of the family's 1533-position model. The record is from RNAcentral. Lineage: Bacteria; Pseudomonadati; Verrucomicrobiota.
UGAGGAAUAUUGGUCAAUGGGCGCUAGCCUGAACCAGCCAAGUAGCGUGCAGGAUGACGGCCCUAUGGGUUGUAAACUGCUUUUAUGCGGGGAUAAAGUCACCCACGUGUGGGUGUUUGCAGGUACCGCAUGAAUAAGGACCGGCUAAUUCCGUGCCAGCAGCCGCGGUAAUACGGAAGGUCCGGGCGUUAUCCGGAUUUAUUGGGUUUAAAGGGAGCGUAGGCCGUUUGGUAAGCGUGUUGUGAAAUGUAGGAGCUCAACUUCUAGAUUGCAACGCGAACUGUCAGACUUGAGUGCGCACAACGUAGGCGGAAUUCAUGGUGUAGCGGUGAAAUGCUUAGAUAUCAUGAAGAACUCCGAUUGCGAAGGCAGCUUACGGGAGCGCAACUGACGCUGAAGCUCGAAGGUGCGGGUAUCGAACAGG